RNAcentral lists this ribosomal RNA (112 nucleotides) under Pogona vitticeps (central bearded dragon). Lineage: Eukaryota; Metazoa; Chordata; Lepidosauria; Squamata; Agamidae. The record is from RNAcentral.
UAUUGAAGACUGCCCUGAUAACAUGCAGUCUCAUCUGAUUUCAAAAGCUAAGCAGGAUCAGGACUGGUUUAUACUUGGAGGAGUGCAUUAGGAAAAACUAGGAUGUCCAGAU